This 541-nucleotide ribosomal RNA is filed under the name Trichoderma harzianum. RNAcentral describes it as "eukaryotic LSU rRNA". The stretch from base 162 to 315 matches the Rfam family "5.8S ribosomal RNA". Lineage: Eukaryota; Fungi; Ascomycota; Sordariomycetes; Hypocreales; Hypocreaceae. The record is from RNAcentral.
AACUGUUGCCUCGGCGGGAUCUCUGCCCCGGGUGCGUCGCAGCCCCGGACCAAGGCGCCCGCCGGAGGACCAACCAAAACUCUUUUUGUAUACCCCCUCGCGGGUUUUUUAUAAUCUGAGCCUUCUCGGCGCCUCUCGUAGGCGUUUCGAAAAUGAAUCAAAACUUUCAACAACGGAUCUCUUGGUUCUGGCAUCGAUGAAGAACGCAGCGAAAUGCGAUAAGUAAUGUGAAUUGCAGAAUUCAGUGAAUCAUCGAAUCUUUGAACGCACAUUGCGCCCGCCAGUAUUCUGGCGGGCAUGCCUGUCCGAGCGUCAUUUCAACCCUCGAACCCCUCCGGGGGGUCGGCGUUGGGGAUCGGCCCUCCCUUAGCGGGUGGCCGUCUCCGAAAUACAGUGGCGGUCUCGCCGCAGCCUCUCCUGCGCAGUAGUUUGCACACUCGCAUCGGGAGCGCGGCGCGUCCACAGCCGUUAAACACCCAACUUCUGAAAUGUUGACCUCGGAUCAGGUAGGAAUACCCGCUGAACUUAAGCAUAUCAAUAA